CAUGAGAAACCCAAAAGAUCGAAUGGGGAGAUUCAUCGUCAGCGCACUUCUAUACGUAUGGGUUAUGAUACGGGUUACUUUCGAGUAUUGUCUGUACAUACUUGUAUAUUUGGAGGUGUUAUCGGCGUGCACUUCUCCCCUAGUAGAACGUCGCGACCCGUUGGGUGUCGGUUUAUGGCCCGAGUGGUAGUCUUUAUUGUUAUUAACAUUAAAGCCCCUUGGUGACCGAAUCGACUGCCCGGCGGUACUCGUACGGUAUUUAGCCGCAUUAAUGCGUCUAUGUCUGCUGCAAGCGAGGUUAGUUUCUGGUAUACGGACCUAGUGCCGUCGCUGGAGCUCACCUUCUGUUGGUAGCAGAAUCUAAGACUGGCUCAUACAUACCGGUCUGCGAUGCUACUGCUU
This 402-nucleotide ribosomal RNA is filed under the name Ecphylus silesiacus. Its description in RNAcentral is "eukaryotic LSU rRNA". The record is from RNAcentral. Lineage: Eukaryota; Metazoa; Arthropoda; Insecta; Hymenoptera; Braconidae.